RNAcentral lists this microRNA precursor (189 nucleotides) under Oryza barthii. Its description in RNAcentral is "MIR812 microRNA precursor family". The record is from Rfam by way of RNAcentral. Lineage: Eukaryota; Viridiplantae; Streptophyta; Magnoliopsida; Poales; Poaceae.
AGGUACCACCUCCAUCUGAUUUUAAGUGUAGUUCUAUUGUCCGUCUUAUUUAAAUUUUUUUAUGAUUAAUAUUAUUAGAUGAUAAAACAUUAAUAUUAUUUUAUGCGUGAUUUAUUUUUUAUUUUUCAUAUUUUUUAGAUAAGAUGGACGGUCAGCCAUUAGGCAGUGAAACUUACAAUUGCAUUUAAA